Pieris rapae (cabbage white) is the source of this 360-nucleotide long non-coding RNA. RefSeq lists it as uncharacterized. The record is from RefSeq and is a predicted model, not a curated record. Lineage: Eukaryota; Metazoa; Arthropoda; Insecta; Lepidoptera; Pieridae. The transcript has 3 exons.
UAAUAGAAUUAGUAACUAUAUAUACCGUACUGUAUUAUAUAUUGUCACAGUUCAAUUUGGAUCUCAAUUUGAAACAUGAAACUCUUCAUCAUCCUUUCCGCCCUUGUGGUGAUGACCAUAGCAGAGGAUUUUGUCAUAUUCAGUCCAACAAUGAUCAAAGAAAUUAGUGAUUGCUUCGUUGAUCGUGCACCAUGUCACUCUCUGAUUCAGUCAUACAAAAAAAACAUGGCUGAAGUAGUCUUCACAGCCUGCCACAGAUGCAAUGACCUCCAGAAGAAAUUUUUGAACCGUUACCUGAUGGCUCUGAAGGAGUACUAUCCUCAGUACUACGGGGACUUCCAGGAGAAAUACGAUCCUGAC